UACGAAGGGGGCUAGCGUUGUUCGGAUUUACUGGGCGUAAAGCGCACGUAGGCGGAUUGUUAAGUGAGGGGUGAAAUCCCAGGGCUCAACCCUGGAACUGCCUUUCAUACUGGCAAUCUUGAGUCCGGAAGAGGUGAGUGGAACUCCUAGUGUAGAGGUGGAAUUCGUAGAUAUUAGGAAGAACACCAGUGGCGAAGGCGGCUCACUGGUCCGGUACUGACGCUCAUGCACGAAAGCGUGGGGAGCAAACAGG
This 253-nucleotide ribosomal RNA is filed under the name uncultured bacterium. RNAcentral's name for it is "partial 16S ribosomal RNA". It matches the Rfam family "Bacterial small subunit ribosomal RNA", at positions 524 to 776 of the family's 1533-position model. The record is from RNAcentral.